CAUAAGCACAAAGAGGAAUGGAGCAGCUGCUGUAAGCUAAGCUCGCGGCUGCGGAUGGUUCAAAAUUGCUGAAGUAUUAAAUGGAUGUAGCAUGCACUUAAAUAAUAUAAGGUGAUUGGGUGAAUGGAGUUAGUUUUGGCGGAGGAAAAGGAACAAAAACAUAAAGUACACCUACAAAAAAGGUGGUACUAUGUACAUGCACUUAAACGUUAUUUUAUUUUAU
This is a long non-coding RNA of Drosophila obscura, 223 nucleotides long. RefSeq lists it as uncharacterized. The record is from RefSeq and is a predicted model, not a curated record. The transcript is spliced from 2 exons. NCBI's taxonomy places the organism in Eukaryota, Metazoa, Arthropoda, Insecta, Diptera, Drosophilidae.